RNAcentral lists this transfer RNA (73 nucleotides) under Planctomycetota bacterium. RNAcentral describes it as "Planctomycetes bacterium (sediment metagenome) tRNA-Cys". It matches the Rfam family "tRNA". From Rfam's summary of the family: Transfer RNA (tRNA) molecules are approximately 80 nucleotides in length. The record is from RNAcentral. Lineage: Bacteria; Pseudomonadati; Planctomycetota.
GGCGUUGGAGCCAGACGGCACGGCAACCGCCUGCAAAGCGGUUUUGAAGUGGGUUCGACUCCCACCGGCGCCU